UGUUUUAAGACUAGUGUGAGCAAGUCUUUGAUGCCAGAUGUCCUCUCCAACCUCUGGUUGAGUUUGUGUGAAGAAGACCUCUGCAACUUUAGGUUCCACCUGGGACUAUUAAAACAUCAUUCAGAGGUUCUGAGGUAAUGUGAGCUGUAGCCCCUGUAUCUGGGUACCAUUCCGAGCCAUAUGGUUCUUCAAUAUGAACUGCUGCCAAUGCAGUUGGUAUUUCCUC
Long non-coding RNA from Eucalyptus grandis, 226 nucleotides. RefSeq lists it as uncharacterized. NCBI's taxonomy places the organism in Eukaryota, Viridiplantae, Streptophyta, Magnoliopsida, Myrtales, Myrtaceae. The transcript has 3 exons. The record is from RefSeq and is a predicted model, not a curated record.